This 253-nucleotide ribosomal RNA is filed under the name uncultured bacterium. Its description in RNAcentral is "partial 16S ribosomal RNA". It matches the Rfam family "Bacterial small subunit ribosomal RNA", at positions 524 to 776 of the family's 1533-position model. The record is from RNAcentral.
UACGAAGGGUGCAAGCGUUACUCGGAAUUACUGGGCGUAAAGAGCUCGUAGGCGGCUUGUCACGUCGGGUGUGAAAGCCCGGGGCUUAACCCCGGGUCUGCAUUCGAUACGGGCUAGCUAGAGUGUGGUAGGGGAGAUCGGAAUUCCUGGUGUAGCGGUGAAAUGCGUAGAGAUGUGGAGGAACACCGAUGGCGAAGGCAGCCUUCUGGGCCAAUACUGACGCUCAUGCACGAAAGCGUGGGGAGCAAACAGG